GCUGAACAGCCCCAACUUUCUCAGCCUAUCUUCAUGCGGGAGGUGCUCCAGUCCCCUGAUCAUCCUCAUGGCCCUCCUCCGGACUUGUUCCAACAGUUCCAUGUCCUUUUUAUGUUGAGGACACCAGAACUGCACACAAUACUCCAAGUAAGGUCUCAUGAGAGCAGAGUAGAGGGGCAGGAUCACCUCCUUCGACCUGCUGGUCACGCUCCUUUUGAUGCAGCCCAGGAUACGGUUGGCUUUCUGGGCUGCAAGCGCACACUGCCAGCUCAUGUUCAUUUUCUCAUCAACCAGCACCCCCAAGUCCUUCUCCACAGGGCUGCUCUGAAUCUCUUCUCUGCCCAGCCUGUAGCUGUGCCUGGGAUUGCUCCAACCCAGGUGUAGGACCUUGAACUUGUCAUGGUUAAACUUCAUGAGGUUGGCAUCAGCCCACCUCACAAGCGUGUCAAGGUUCUCUGUCUGUUUCUGCUGCCCCUGUGUCAAAACAGCCUUCAUUGCUAUCUGAGGGGACUCUGGUCCUGGCCACCCAUCUCUUCCAUGUCUCCUGGCCCUGUCCUGCCCUCAUUUGCCUUCUGUGUUGGUUCAGGGACUGGCCUUAAUAUUCACAACUGCAGAUGGGAGUGCAAAGGUGUUGCUUGACAAACAAUUAUUAAUAGUGAAAGCCUUGCCAUUAGCAUUGUUCUUAACCUGCCCAGACCCUUUUCUCUCUAAGCAGAUUUUGAUGUGUAAUCCCAUUACUGCAUGCAGAAAAAUGCCCCUUUAUCAGUGAGGAGGGCUGUUGUUUCAGUUUGUAUUAUCCUUUCAUUGUCACUCGCUGUGAAAGUGCUCCCAUGUACUGCUGGGCCCGGGGCCCCAGGAUGUGUGCCCUUGAGCAGCCAGGGGUGUUUGAAUGUGCUGUUGUGCACCCUAAUAAGCCAGGACCAUUUUUUUAACUUCUGAGCUGGGGAAAAGGGAGAAAAAAAAAAAAAAAGGAAAGAAAAAGAAAAUGGUCACUUUGGUCACUUUUGAAAAACUGAUUUCACAACUCAUUUGUCAAGCCCUAUAGCAAACCAUUUAUUUUAGCUCCUUUUUGCUCCAUCAAGAGCUGUAUGUUAAAAGGGAGAGGUGAAUUUUGAGAGGCUGGGAACUGAAGGCAGGCUGCAGUGCCACCCACCCUCACUGGCACUUUCCCGGGAGGCCUCCAGCCACAGUUCAGGGGUAGGAGCUGUUAUUUUCCCUGAAUUGACUCUGCUUUCAAAAUCAAAUUAUUUCUUUUGUCAAGUCCCAUAAACAUUGAACACCACAGACUUCGUUUCACUACAGAUAUGAAUGAGUGCCUCUGUAUAGUACUUUCCAUUGACAUGAAAUAUAUAUGUAUAUAUAUAUAUAUGUAAUGGGGAGUGUAAUUAUUGCUCUACUUAAAGGUGACAUUCCACUUCAGUGUAACUUUCAAGUGCAGCUUUUAAGAGAAACCUUGACUUAAAGAGAAGCUGGAAGAGUUUAGAGGUAUGUGUUUUAAUAAGCUUUAAUGAGGUUUAAUAAGCUUGGAGUUAGGGCUGCAGGUUCUAAGACAAAAAAGAACCCAAGAUGAUUUUCCCAUCACUUUCCCAGAUCAGACCCUGUAAGAGUUUAACCUGGAAGUCACUGCUUGAGCACUGGUAGUUCUUAAGGGUAUUUGGAUGCUGCAUGGUACUGUGUGUCUGUCCCCAGACACCAGUCUUUAUUCAGUACAUGUACUUGACCAGAAGGUGAAAGACACAACUUUGUCUUGCUCCAAGACCCUGAUGGUCUUCUUUUUUCUUUUGAUUUGUGCUAAUUGAGUUUAUUGGGUGAUCCUAGUAGGGCACACUCCACCUGCCCAGCCUCAGAGCUUCCUUUCCAACAGCAUACCUUCUUCUCAUUUGUUUACUUGGGUAUACUGGACCACUGUGAAGUAAUUACACAAGCAAUAACACGGGUGUUGCAUUUUCCUGUCAUUGCCUUUUGUAAGACAUAACACACCACUGACAUUGAAAAAGGGUACAAGACUCAGAAGCUGCAUUACUGUUUGCUAGCAAUAUAACCGAUGUACCGUGCUUCUACAGGGGACCUGUCCUCACUCCUCAAAGCAGCUGGCUGUCUUGGGCCCAAUUUAAUUCACAAGGCCAGAUUAUAAAAAAUGUUGGAUCCCUUUACCAACACUCCAUCAAUCUUGCUUCCAUCAUUUUUUGUGCUUUUGCGUAGUUUCAAGCUAGAAGAAAGUUUAAAGAAAUGUGCUAACACUCCCAUAUAGGGUGAGUAAACAUCCCAUUUAUUUCACAAAAAUUACAACAAAAUGAGGGGACUUACUCUAUCUUGUACAGAAUUAAUAAGUAGUUACUUUGGACAUAUUAAAAACUUAUUAAGAACAGCCUGGAGUGAAGUUUCCACAGUCAAACUGUUCUCUGUUUUUCAUUUAAAAAUCAACAAAUACUGAGGUACGUUUUGCCACCUUCUGGUAGAAGUGACCUGAAACUGAACUGUGAAUCCUCCUGAAUGGGAGUUUUACUGAAGCAAAUGGAAAUGUUACCAGAAUGUCCCAUGUUAGAUCACCCACUUCUGGGCAGAGAGGAAACGUAAGGUUGUGCACAAGAGAAACUCCUAUUGUGAAUGGUUUUAAAGUCCUUCAGAUCUCCUAUUUCCAAAUAUUGAGAAUGGGAAGGAUCAGAAACCUUCCCAUAAACCCUGUGCAUUUUGUGUGUUGAAGUCCCUGGCUUGAAUUCAGGUCUCCAGCUGCAUGUAAAUGUUAAUAUUCAAGUAGAACAAAAACAUUAGAAGCAAUUACAGCAUGAACAUCUCUUCUUGUUUAUGUAUAGUAGCUGAUAGCAGAGUCUGUAAUAAUAAUCUGUGUUUAUACAUGUGCUGUUCAAUGUAACAGUUGGGUACAAAAUACUUUUUAACUGUCACAAGAAAGUAACUGGAUUGAUGUCACUUUUUGCUUGUAUGAAUAUAAUUAUUUGCUUUGCAGGGACCAGUUCCACUUUUGUCAUGUUAUUUAUGAUUUUUAAAUACAUUUGUGAUAAAUUAGGCUCUUUUCUAAGGUAAAUAAUACUGGAGCCAAGCAGCUCUCUGUACAUGUGCAUGUUAUCACAGCUGAUAUCAAAUCCAAGUCAGACUCCUUGUCUUGCUUGGAGCUUUCCUUAACCUUUCUGGCUUAUUCAGGGAAAUGCAGACCAGUCUAUUUUCUUAUUUAAAAUACAGCAUUUUGAAAAGCUGAACUUAUUUUUUAAAUCCUUUCUUUUUACAAUUACUGAUUCAGAAAGACUGUAACAAUUGUAUUUUUCUAAACUGCCAAUUGCUUGUGUUGGGAAAUUAUGUAUAGAUAUAUAUUUUAUUCUACAGAUUUCUGUGUAGUUUUGAAACUCUGUUUUCAUAUAUAUCCUCCUGUUUGCUGAAUUUAUCUCAAAAAGCUGUAAGCUUCUGUGUACUGAUCUAUGAAAAUGUGUAAAAAUGUAGCUGCUGACUUUUUACUUAAAUUGUUAGAGCUAAGUUAUCCCUAGUGUUACACCAUGCAAGAUGUACUGGAAGAAAUCAGGUCAUUGUUUCAAAAUGCUGGACAGUGUUACAUGACACUUCCUAAAAUGCCUGGACUGAAAGGUAGGAGAAUUUACCCUAGAAAUGGUGCCAUUUCAGGGCGUGAUUCUACAGUUUAUUCACACUGUUUAGGCCCUUAUUUCAAAAUUACUUCCAUGAAAUUUCAUGGGAAAUAUUAAAAAAUAAGAGUCUAUGAUUUGUGAAUAGCAGUGAUAGAAUAAAGGUCUUUUCUAAUGAAGAAUGGGUCCUUUUAACCAGUUAAAAGGCUGUAUUUUGAGUACUUCAGGGCAACUUCUUGUGUUCUUUUCUGCACUGUGGACUCCUGCUGUGUAUUCUGGAUUUAUUCCAUAGCUGAAAUGCUAGAUUAAAUCCAUCUAAGCCUCAUGCACAGAUGAACUUAAUGGAAAGCCACAGUGAAAUGUUGCAGAAAAUGGCCUGAUCUCAUUCUUCAGAACAAUAAUUAAAGUAACUCACAGCUUUGGCUUCUGUGCACCUGUGAAGCAGAGGCCCUUGCUUUGUACCUUGGCUGUGGUGUAACAUGUAAGGAUUUCUGCUCUCUGCCUGGGAAAUACUGUCAAUUCCUCAGCCUUGUUAGAAGCGUAAUAUUUUCUCAAGUAAAAAAUCUGAUUCUGUAAGACACAUUGGGGAGUUAAAGGGCAGUUGGGACCUGCAAUCAGGCUGCAUUAUUCCAAAAUUUUAUCCCUCAGUGGAAAAAGAAUAAAAAAUGAUGUGGCUUUUCUGUUUGCAAGUAGGACAAAGAGACUGGAAAUUCAUUACCCCAAGCCCUAGCCUUGUGACUGUUCUGUGAUGCUCCACUGUUACCAAUGAACUAUGUUGAAUCAGAUUAUAAAAUCAGAGUAUUUUACUGCAUGUGUCCUUUUUUGUAAUGAAAUAUAGUUAUAUCUGAUGUUGCAGUUACAAUGCAGUAAAUAAACACACAUGUGUUUCUUUUUAA
Pezoporus flaviventris is the source of this 4486-nucleotide long non-coding RNA. RefSeq lists it as uncharacterized. The record is from RefSeq and is a predicted model, not a curated record. The transcript has 2 exons. Lineage: Eukaryota; Metazoa; Chordata; Aves; Psittaciformes; Psittacidae.